AAAUCUGGACAACUUACACUGAGGGAAAGAGAUGCUCAGGGACUGCAAGGUUUCAAGCAAGAAUAAAAACUGCAAGAUUAGCAUGGCAGAAACCUCCCAUCCUCAUGGAGAGUUAUGAGAAGGGAGACAGCUGUGCCACGUGUCACCUGGAGCCAGUCCCAUCCAAGAGAAGAGCUGCUUGACAAAGGAAGACAUAGAAAGGAAGGGAGCAAAAUGAGGUGAACCUUGCUGGAUUAUUCAGUACCAUGGGCUCUCUCCAAUGUUUAUAUGGGUUAAAGCAGCAAUUCUUCAUCAGUCCUAGGUAAUAGCUGGACACAGUCCUGGCAAGAAGCUCCAGGUUGCCCUGUUUAGGCAGGGAGAUUGUAUCACAUGAGCUCCAGAGGUCACUCCUACCUCAACUGUACUGUACUUCUGUGAUUCUCCCAUCUCUGAGAUGGCUGGUGGAGAUUUCCCUUUACAGAGAAAAACUUUCAGCUGGUUCAUCAAGGCAGAUACGUGGUGAUUUUUUUUUUCCAUCUGUGCCCACAAUGCCAGCAGGGAAUAUGUUUAGAAAGUGAGAACACAUGGGUGACAUGGAGUAGCUCCACCUCACCAGCUCCCACCUUUUAUGCAGUUACAUGGGGAGGUGGUACCAAUCUCGGAGGCCAUAGGCAAAAAUAGAAAUUAAUUUCAGGAAGUGGUUCAGGCACCACAAGGAUGGAUUACAUGUGGAAAAGCAGACGGAGCUAAAUGACCCCCCUUUCGCAGAACACAAGGGUAUUAGAAAUGGCUGCUCCUAGAUGUAACACUGGUAUAAGCCAUAUUAUUGACAAUCAAUAUAGAAAAUGGAAACAACAUAUUUCUUUUUAGAUCUCAACUAUUUUCUGCCACUUGAGUGCUUGACGCCCCAGCUUGCAAACAGAUAAGCUGGUUUAUGAACAAUACAGCAUCACUUUCAUUGCAAUUGACUAUUCAGAAGACUAGAGGAAGUAAUUAUCAUUGUUUACAUCAGCCACUGCCUUGCAACUGUUGUGUUAAGAGAGCAUGUCCUAGGAUAUUCAGUGUUUUGUAACUGUUUUUUUUCCUUCUAAAAUAUCUAAUCUUCAUGUCUUCUGUUUCUUGUGGUGUGAUGAAGUCUAGCACAUAGUCAGACAAAAUCUUAAAGCUAGAAAAUAGCUUUGGUAGAGCUGAGAGUUUGAUGAGAAACUGAAAGGAUCUAUUGUUGUCUUUAGUCGUAUUUGUAUUGCAAUGAAUAGACAUGGAUUUAUUAUUUUCUCAU
Long non-coding RNA from Gallus gallus (chicken), 1258 nucleotides. NCBI's taxonomy places the organism in Eukaryota, Metazoa, Chordata, Aves, Galliformes, Phasianidae. The record is from Ensembl.